GGCCGUGUGCCCGAGUGGCUUAGGGACUCGCCUGCACUGCAUCCAUCAGCGAGCUCCGCUCGCGGGGAGGUACGUGGGUUCAAUUCCCGCCACGGCUU
This 98-nucleotide transfer RNA is filed under the name Streptomyces sp. S.PB5. RNAcentral describes it as "tRNA-OTHER". It matches the Rfam family "tRNA". Rfam says of the family: Transfer RNA (tRNA) molecules are approximately 80 nucleotides in length. Their secondary structure includes four short double-helical elements and three loops (D, anti-codon, and T loops). Further hydrogen bonds mediate the characteristic L-shaped molecular structure. tRNAs have two regions of fundamental functional importance: the anti-codon, which is responsible for specific mRNA codon recognition, and the 3' end, to which the tRNAs corresponding amino acid is attached (by aminoacyl-tRNA synthetases). tRNAs cope with the degeneracy of the genetic code in two manners: having more than one tRNA (with a specific anti-codon) for a particular amino acid; and 'wobble' base-pairing, i.e. permitting non-standard base-pairing at the 3rd anti-codon position. Lineage: Bacteria; Bacillati; Actinomycetota; Actinomycetes; Kitasatosporales; Streptomycetaceae. The record is from RNAcentral.